AGCGAACGCUGGCGGCAGGCUUAACACAUGCAAGUCGAACGGGCAUAGCAAUAUGUCAGUGGCAGACGGGUGAGUAACGCGUGGGAACGUACCUUUUGGUUCGGAACAACACAGGGAAAUUUGUGCUAAUACCGGAUAAGCCCUUACGGGGAAAGAUUUAUCGCCGAAAGAUCGGCCCGCGUCUGAUUAGCUAGUUGGUAGGGUAAUGGCCUACCAAGGCGACGAUCAGUAGCUGGUCUGAGAGGAUGAUCAGCCACAUUGGGACUGAGACACGGCCCAAACUCCUACGGGAGGCAGCAGUGGGGAAUAUUGGACAAUGGGCGAAAGCCUGAUCCAGCCAUGCCGCGUGAGUGAUGAAGGCCCUAGGGUUGUAAAGCUCUUUUGUGCGUGAAGAUAAUGACGGUACCGCAAGAAUAAGCCCCGGCUAACUUCGUG
Molecule: ribosomal RNA, 435 nt
Filed under: uncultured bacterium
Lineage: Bacteria
Description: partial 16S ribosomal RNA
Rfam family: Bacterial small subunit ribosomal RNA
Source: RNAcentral